This is a long non-coding RNA of Brienomyrus brachyistius, 327 nucleotides long. RefSeq lists it as uncharacterized. The record is from RefSeq and is a predicted model, not a curated record. The transcript has 3 exons. NCBI's taxonomy places the organism in Eukaryota, Metazoa, Chordata, Actinopteri, Osteoglossiformes, Mormyridae.
CGGUAAUGCUAUAUGGUCAGGCAGGUGAUCAGGGCUAUGGCUAUGAGGUCAAGCAGGCAGGGCUAUGGCCAUGCAGUCAGGUGAUCAGGGCUAUGGCUAUGAGGUCAAGCAGGCAGGGCUAUGGCUAUGCAGUCAGGUGAUCAGGGCUAUGGCUAUGAGGUCAAGCAGGCAGGGCUAUGGCUAUGCAGUCAGGUGAUCAGGGCUAUGGCUGUAUAGUCAGGUGGUCAGAGCUAUGGCCAUGAGGUCAGGUGAUCAGGGCUAUGGCUAUGAGGUCAAGCACGCAGAGCUAUGGCUAUGCAGUCAGGUGACCCGGGCUGUAAGGCUGUG